AUUGAACGCUGGCGGCAGGCCUAACACAUGCAAGUCGAACGGUAACAGGAAGAAGCUUGCUUCUUUGCUGACGAGUGGCGGACGGGUGAGUAAUGUCUGGGAAACUGCCUGAUGGAGGGGGAUAACUACUGGAAACGGUAGCUAAUACCGCAUAACGUCGCAAGACCAAAGAGGGGGACCUUCGGGCCUCUUGCCUUCGGCUGUGCCCAGAUGGGAUUAGCUAGUAGGUGGGGUAACGGCUCACCUAGGCGACGAUCCCUAGCUGGUCUGAGAGGAUGACCAGCCACACUGGAACUGAGACACGGUCCAGACUCCUACGGGAGGCAGCAGUGGGGAAUAUUGGACAAUGGGCGCAAGCCUGAUGCAGCCAUGCCGCGUGUAUGAAGAAGGCCUUCGGGUUGUAAAGUACUUUCAGCGGGGAGGAAGGGAGUAAAGUUAAUACCUUUGCUCAUUGACGUUACCCGCAGAAGAAGCACCGGCUAACUCCGUG
RNAcentral lists this ribosomal RNA (490 nucleotides) under uncultured bacterium. RNAcentral describes it as "partial 16S ribosomal RNA". It matches the Rfam family "Bacterial small subunit ribosomal RNA", at positions 30 to 507 of the family's 1533-position model. The record is from RNAcentral.